CCUACGGGGGGCUGCAGUGGGGAAUAUUGCACAAUGGGGGAAACCCUGAUGCAGCGACGCCGCGUGAGUGAAGAAGUAUUUCGGUAUGUAAAGCUCUAUCAGCAGGGAAGAAAAUGACGGUACCUGACCAAGAAGCCCCGGCUAACUACGUGCCAGCAGCCGCGGUAAUACGUAGGGGGCAAGCGUUAUCCGGAUUUACUGGGUGUAAAGGGAGCGUAGACGGCAGCGCAAGUCUGGAGUGAAAUGCCGGGGCCCAACCCCGGAACUGCUUUGGAAACUGUGCAGCUGGAGUGCAGGAGAGGUAAGCGGAAUUCCUAGUGUAGCGGUGAAAUGCGUAGAUAUUAGGAGGAACACCAGUGGCGAAGGCGGCUUACUGGACUGUAACUGACGUUGAGGCUCGAAAGCGUGGGGAGCAAACAGGAUUAGAUACCCGGGUAGUC
This 440-nucleotide ribosomal RNA is filed under the name uncultured bacterium. RNAcentral's name for it is "partial 16S ribosomal RNA". It matches the Rfam family "Bacterial small subunit ribosomal RNA", at positions 338 to 795 of the family's 1533-position model. The record is from RNAcentral.